CAGAGUUAUUGUUUUAUCUACCCAGUAGGAAAAAAAAAGCCCUCUAGGUAUGUAGCUGAAACCCUGACAUAAAUGGAAACAGCUUCUCACCUAUUUCCUAAGUCAGUCCACAGACACAGAGCCCCCCGACUGAAGGAGAAACUGGGUCCAUUUGUGGAAGGCUGCACCAUAUGGGAUAUCUUCUUGAAUCAGUCAUGCCAUCAGGGCCUCCUUGGCAAAACAUGAUCCCCCUGGAGUUAUGCCACACAGCGUGUCUGCCAUCACACCAGGGAUGCUGAGGCUGCACUAUCAUCUCUGAGGGAAACCAGCUGCCAUGUUGUGAAGACACUCAAGCAAGCCAUGUGUGUGAACUACCAUGUUGAAAAUGGACCCUCCAAAUCCAAUCAAGCCUUCAAGAGAUUAUUGAUGUCAUGGCCAACAUCCUGACUACAACCUCAUGAAAAAACCUCAGCAAAUGCUUCCUAACCAAGCUUCUUCUGAACUCCAGACCUAUAGAAAAUGUGUGAGAUAAUUGUUCUUCAGCCCAGUCAAGACCCUAAGAAGAUGGGGGUGGAAUUCUGCCUCCUCUACACAAAUUCUUGCCACGACUUAGUGACACCUUUAAUGAACCGAGCACUGGGUUAAAGUUUUCUCUAAUUCUUAAAUAACUCUGCUAGAUGCACAAGACAAAGAAACAAAAAUGUCCAACAACGUGUCAAGAGAAAAUAAGUUAUACCUUCAAGAAACUUCAAAUGGUUUUACUACUGCUCAGCCCCUGAAGGCAUGGUAGACAACCCACAGUGUAUAUUAAACAAAACUGCAGCGACUGGCAAAGGAUAAUGAAAUGAUAGGAAGCCCAUGGAGAACACAGUGGAGAUACAGUGAUGUACAAGCUGGGAACCCAAGGAAACACUAUAGGAAAGGCAGUAAGGUACCUGAGGAAGGCUGCAUCGAUAGAGAAGCAGAGAAGCUGGCUUUGGCUACUGAAGGCUGAUUCAGGUUAAGGAAGACUUAGAUCAAAAGUUAUCCAAAACCCAAGACCUCAGAUGAAUAAGGCACAUGUCAGUCAGAAGAAGGAAGAAUAUUCCUGGAGAAGAUAAAAAGAAGAAAAUUUCUGGUAUGCUUCAAGAUCAUACAGAAGGCUGAAACAACAGGACCUUGGGAGACUCACAGUUUUGUACAGUAAUUUUUCAAUAACAAUAUACAGGCUUCUCAGUCUCACCAGAGAAAAAUCUGCCCCCAUAUUUUCAAAUUAUUUUUGACAAGCUAUGUACCAUUAGACUGUAUCACACCCAAGUCUCCUGGCCUUUAACAGGACUGUUAGAUUCUACACUCAAAGUACGAACUUGUUUCAUUCCUUUUUAUUUCUUCAAUUAAGGAAACCACCAUCAAGCAUUAUCACUUCCACUCAUGCUAUAAAGGCACCAACAUUUUUCAUCAUCAUACUGAACCUCUCAAUUUUUCAUAUGAUUGCAUCUUCUUGAUGUGCAAUUGCAUCAUCAUUUCCUCUCCUUUCUAGUAAUUUCUCUUAUUCCUCCUCUACUCUGCAUUAUUCUAUUAUACUCUCAUAAUAAAUAUAGGUUUUCUCCAGAAUUUCAUACGUGGUUUUCUUCUAUUUCAAUCUAUAUAUUUUAAGAAGUUUACAUCUAUUGUGGAUGAAGGAAAAUAAUUGAGAACAUCACUACUCUGCCCAGCAUCUGAGUGAAGGAUGUGAGAAUGGUGUGUUGUUAAUCUUCCCUCCACAAUGCCUUUUAAAUAUUCAUCCUUUUAACUCAUACUAUCACUUUCUCAAAUUCAAAUGCAAAUAAGUAGGGUAAAACUGUUGUUACAGUGGCUUUGAUUCUUAUCAGGCAUGAUUAAAAUGCUGAAUAAAUAAAAAUUCCUGGUGACUUCUUCAUAGAUCACACAAUUUUGUAUCAAGUUAUUUUCUAGUGAUAUUUUUAAAAAAUUAGGUUACCAAUGCUACAAAAUAUCUUACAUUAUAUUUAAUCUUACAAUCUCAACUAAUCUUUUAACAAGUUGAGAUUGUACAACAAUAUUUGAUAGUAAAAUCAUUAUGCCUCAUGCAGGAGAGGUGUUUUACACAAAGAUCAGAGUUAAAUGUUUCCUACAGAGGUACAAUGAGAUAUAAUAGAGUAAACUGAUGAAUUUUUAAUUUGAGAGUGAGGGGAGAGCCUUACUCUUUAUAAAUAGAACAGAUUCCACUUUUAGUCUGUUUAGGGGAAAUUUUGCCCCCAAAAAGUUAAUUAGAGUAAUUUGUUUUGCAAGGACUGGAGUCUAAUACUGUGAAGAAGCUUUAAAUGUUAGAGCUAACAUUUACUCAAAGAGAGGAAGACAUAAAAUUAUACACACAGCCACAUUUAUGCAAUAGCCAAAUAAGCAGAAUAAGUGAAGAAAAAAUAGUGCACAGUUUUCUCAAGGCAGGAUUUGCAAAUAUUUAAAGGUUAUAAAGUAAAUUGUGAAACAAAUACAUUUGUUGCUAUUUUGGAAGAGAUACAAAUGUACUCUGUAUAAUAUCAUGAAAAUUGCUUGGGUUUUAGAACCAAAUCAUCAUUCUUUUUUAAAGAAUGACUAAAAAAAGGCCUCUCUGGGUAGCAGAACUUGUAAUAGUCUCCCAAAAAAGAAUCUAAAUAUGGAUUUCACCUACUGCAGAAGUUUUCAAACUUUUUGGUCUCAGAACUCCUUAUACACAAAAAUAAUUAAGUAAAAAUAGCCCAA
This 2697-nucleotide long non-coding RNA is filed under the name Homo sapiens (human). RNAcentral's name for it is "HSALNT0310731". The record is from RNAcentral. Lineage: Eukaryota; Metazoa; Chordata; Mammalia; Primates; Hominidae.